CUACGGGGCGCAGCAGUGGGGAAUUUUGCGCAAUGGGGGGAACCCUGACGCAGCAAUACCGCGUGAGUGAAGAAGGCCUUUGGGUCGUAAAGCUCUUUUCUGAAGGAAGAUAGUGACGGUACUUCAGGAAUAAGCACCGGCUAACUCCGUGCCAGCAGCCGCGGUAAUACGGAGGGUGCGAGCGUUGUUCGGAUUUACUGGGCGUAAAGGGCACGUAGGCGGCCUGGCAAGUUAAGGGUGAAAUCCCGGGGCUUAACUCCGGAACUGCUCUUAAAACUGCCAGAGCUAGAGAUAGUCAGAGGCGGGUGGAAUUCCUGGUGUAGAGGUGAAAUUCGUAGAUAUCAGGAGGAACGCCGGUGGCGAAGGCGGCCCGCUGGGGCUAUUCUGACGCUAAGGUGCGAAAGCGUGGGGAGCGAACGGGAUUAGAUACCCUAGUAGUC
This 440-nucleotide ribosomal RNA is filed under the name uncultured bacterium. RNAcentral's name for it is "partial 16S ribosomal RNA". It matches the Rfam family "Bacterial small subunit ribosomal RNA", at positions 339 to 795 of the family's 1533-position model. The record is from RNAcentral.